This 485-nucleotide ribosomal RNA is filed under the name uncultured bacterium. Its description in RNAcentral is "partial 16S ribosomal RNA". It matches the Rfam family "Bacterial small subunit ribosomal RNA", at positions 899 to 1397 of the family's 1533-position model. The record is from RNAcentral.
ACUCAAAUGAAUUGACGGGGACCCGCACAAGCGGUGGAGCAUGUGGUUUAAUUCGACGGUAAGCGAGGAACCUUACCAGGGUUUGACAUGUAGCUGCAAGCGCACGGAAACGUGUGAUCUUCGAGAGUGCUACACAGGUACUGCACGGUUGUCGUCAGCUCGUGUCGUGAGAUGUUCCCUUAAGUGGGAGAACGAGCGCAACCCCCGUGAUAUGUUGAUUUUCAUAUCAGACUGCCGGCGUUUAAGCUGGAGGAAGGUGGGGAUGACGUCAAAUCAGCGUGGUCUUUACGCCCUGGGCGACACACGUGCUACAAUGGAUAGGAACAAAGGGACGCAACAUCGCAAGAUAGAGCAAAUCCUCUCAAAAACUAUUCUCAGUUCGGAUUGAGGGCUGCAACUCGCCCUCAUGAAGCUGGAAUCGCUAGUAACCGUGAAUCAGCCUCGUCACGGUGAAUACGUUCUCGGGUUUUGUACACACCGCCCGU